CUGCGCGAUCGGGCAACCGCCGGGCCCGCUUCUCAAAGCGUGGCCGGGAGGAAAGUCCGGUCUUCCCAGGGCAGCAUGCCGGCUAACGGCCGGGGGCCGUCGCCUCAAAACGCCGGCUACGGAAAGUGCCACAGAAAAUAUACCGCCUGUCGUGGGGUUGUCUGCCCAUUGCAGGUAAGGGUGAAAUGGUGCGGUAAGAGCGCACCGCGGCCGGAGCAAUCCGGCUGGCAGGGAAAACCCCAUGCGAAGCAAGACCAAAUAGGGGAGGAGGAGUGGCCCGCUCCGUUACUACUUCCGGGUAGGUCGCUCGAGCCUCUCAGCAAUGAGAGGCCUAGACGAAUGGUUGCCGCCGCGCGCCGGAGAGAUUCGGCAACGGCACAGAAACCGGCUUAUAGAUCGCGCAGGUUC
Molecule: RNase P RNA, 408 nt
Filed under: Acidobacteriaceae bacterium
Lineage: Bacteria; Pseudomonadati; Acidobacteriota; Terriglobia; Terriglobales; Acidobacteriaceae
Description: RNase P RNA component class A
Rfam family: Bacterial RNase P class A
About the family: Ribonuclease P (RNase P) is a ubiquitous endoribonuclease, found in archaea, bacteria and eukarya as well as chloroplasts and mitochondria. Its best characterised activity is the generation of mature 5'-ends of tRNAs by cleaving the 5'-leader elements of precursor-tRNAs. Cellular RNase Ps are ribonucleoproteins.
Source: RNAcentral